Molecule: long non-coding RNA, 184 nt
Organism: Andrographis paniculata
Lineage: Eukaryota; Viridiplantae; Streptophyta; Magnoliopsida; Lamiales; Acanthaceae
Exons: 3
Source: RefSeq, a predicted model, not a curated record
GUUUGUAUCGCCAUUCCAACACCGCUGCUGCAGAUCCCUUGAGUUGUGCCUCCUUAAUUUAAUUUGUUCAUCUGAAGCGUAAGAAGAUCAAAAGCCAAUUUACACGUGUGCUCCUAGAAUACAACUCGAUCCAUGGCGAUCAAAUCAGGACCAUGAUGGAGCACAUUGUGUAUGUUCACAAUGG